RNAcentral lists this unclassified non-coding RNA (294 nucleotides) under uncultured fungus. Its description in RNAcentral is "sequence contains ITS1". The record is from RNAcentral. Lineage: Eukaryota; Fungi.
UGGACUACUGGGGUUUCUAAUCCUGUUUGCUCCCCACGCUUUCGCACCUCAGUGUCAGUAUCGGGCCAGUGAGCCGCCUUCGCCACUGGUGUUCUUGCGAAUAUCUACGAAUUUCACCUCUACACUCGCAGUUCCACUCACCUCUCCCGAACUCGAAGGUCGCCAGUAUCGAAGGCAGUUCCAGAGUUGAGCUCUGGGAUUUCACCCCCGACUUAACGACCCACCUACGUGCGCUUUACGCCCAGUGAUUCCGAGCAACGCUAGCCCCCUUCGUAUUACCGCGGCGGCUGGCAC